UUUUGAAUUCAUUCUUGGAGUUUGUAAAUACAAUGCGAUUAAUCAGGGCGAUUAAUCGCGAUUAAAUAUUUUAAUCGUUGCCCAGCCCUAAAAAUAAUGAAGGUUACUACUUCAUAUCACGGGUUCUUUUAGGAACGUAACCCCUGUGAGAAACGAGGGUUCACUGUAACCGUAUACGUCUAAUAAAAGCUUCCUGAAGGGUCCCGGCCCAGACGGGCUCUGAAAGACAACAAGUGUCUCAGUUUCCAGUCAUUCUGCAGAAUAAAAACUGUUUUAAUGGUCUGAAGGAAAAUGCAGCUGAAAGCAACAAAGUCCAUUAAUGGAGAAAAUGAGGAGCUUUUCUGUGCAGUGAGGUUUGAUGUGCUGAAGGCAGCAGUGAUGGAGCUCCCAGUGAGGACCGUCCUCCAGGAGGAAACCUCAGAGAUGUGAGGAACCUGGAGAUGAGCUGAGUCCACCAUGAAGACAUCAGCAGCUUACAUCUUAAAGUUGCAGUCCAGGCUGAGGAAAAGACUCCACCGUCAAAGCUUCAGUGCAGUUCAGCUGUCCUCGUUUCAGCUGGUUGUGCCUCAAUGGACAAAUAGCUGUCAUUUCUUAUUUCAUGCUAAUCUUUGAUGUGAAACCAACAUCUUUUCUGUCAAUAAGAAAAGUUCUUUUGGAGUUUCAUCAGUUUUCAGGAAACCGGUUUAUAAAUGAAGGACUUUGUGCUGAAAGCUUGAAAAAAAGCAUGAAUUUAACGUCCUGAAGACUCACUGCUGCAGGGAGCAAAGGUGAAGAGAAGACGAAGAGUUUGAUUAAAUAUGAGGUCAAUGUUGCAAAGGUUUCUUUAUAAAAAUAAAAUCUGAGAUCUCUUUUAACUGGGCGGUUACCUAUGCUUCCUAAAUGUCUUCAGAGUCCAGACCAAAUGUGAAAUAAAGAAAUGAGACCUUGAUAUCCCAGAGCAACGAUGGCACAGUGCCCGCUUGAAAGCAUUUUUUACCUCCGUCAGUCAACAGAACAUUGAAAUAGUUGAUUUUUUAUUUGACUUUGCAGGACUGUAACAUAAAUUGCAACCUGAAUUGUUGAGAAAUGUUCCUAACCGGGCACUGAAGUGUCAAAGCAACUGGAAAUAAAAAUCUGCCAAAUGUCAAAAAGCCUUUAAAAGCAUUUUCAGCAGAGUUGGUCAGAAAAUUAUUGCU
Molecule: long non-coding RNA, 1175 nt
Organism: Fundulus heteroclitus (mummichog)
Lineage: Eukaryota; Metazoa; Chordata; Actinopteri; Cyprinodontiformes; Fundulidae
Exons: 2
Source: RefSeq, a predicted model, not a curated record